Molecule: transfer RNA, 67 nt
Filed under: Acronicta hercules
Lineage: Eukaryota; Metazoa; Arthropoda; Insecta; Lepidoptera; Noctuidae
Description: tRNA-Cys
Source: RNAcentral
UGUCUUAUAUUCUAAUUAUGAUAUAAAAUUGCAAAUUUUAAGGUAUAGAAUAAUUCUAUUAAGGCUU